Molecule: non-coding RNA, 148 nt
Filed under: Aureococcus anophagefferens
Lineage: Eukaryota; Pelagophyceae; Pelagomonadales; Pelagomonadaceae
Source: RNAcentral
GAUCUAAAAUAAAAAGUGUCGCGCCUGCCGUCUCGGGCGCAAAAUAAAUCAAUAAAAAUACCAACAAAAACCCUUGUUUUGAAGACCAGCCACCGAAACAUAGCAAAAAAAAUCGGCCGGCCUUCGGCCAGCAUGAGGUCUCAGGAGG